RNAcentral lists this long non-coding RNA (697 nucleotides) under Phoenix dactylifera (date palm). RNAcentral describes it as "long non-coding RNA (PDAC_LNC010065)". Lineage: Eukaryota; Viridiplantae; Streptophyta; Magnoliopsida; Arecales; Arecaceae. The record is from RNAcentral.
CUCCAGCGACAACUUCAUCCUACUUCAUUGCUCCCAGACAUCUCAUUGCUGGUGACGCUUCCUUUCAAGGGCUGCCUGGUGAUCAGAGGUGAGGACCUUAAUCUUUUAUAUUUAUGAAGGAAACCCAAGCUUUUAAGAAAUUCAAUUUGGAAUAUUACCCCAUCCGUGUUGAUCCUGUCACCAGCUCAUGUCUGCCAUCGUCGCUUGCCAGCCUUAAUUGCAGGUCCCGGCACCACCACUAGUGUAGCCGUCACGUCACAAUCGGCCGCCACAAUCACUGCCAUGGCCACUACUCAGAAGGCUACCAAAUAAGUUUUGGAUUUUAAUUUCCAAGAAAAAAAUGAAGUCAAUGAAGUCUGCCAUCAGAUACUUGGGGUCCUCGUCAAGGGGACCAUUAUUGUGGAACUGGACAUGAAGGAAAUUAAUGGACGUAAGGCAGAGUGGAAAAAUGGCUGCUUAAGGCCGAUUUGGAAUUUAUAUACAGAAGUCAGAUUUGGCAGCUAAAAUAUCUGCCAGAUGUAGGUUUCCAUCCAGACAUGCUCCCGUAGAAGGUCUUAUCUUAAUACCAUGUAUUUAAAUGUAAAUAAUGGCUUCUUGAAUGGAUCUCUUGUAAAAUGGCUUUUCUAAAAUCAUCUUUUCUGCAGCAUGAUGCUGUAAACAGCAGGUAAAAUGGCCUUUAUAGAUCCUAAUCCCUGGC